GGCCGCGUGGCGCAUUGAUAACGCGUCUGCCUACGGAGCAGAAGAUUGCAGGUUCGAGUCCUGCCGUGGUCG
Angiostrongylus costaricensis is the source of this 72-nucleotide non-coding RNA. The record is from Rfam. NCBI's taxonomy places the organism in Eukaryota, Metazoa, Nematoda, Chromadorea, Rhabditida, Metastrongylidae.